CUCUCGAAAUCAGUAAACUCUCUUAAUGAUCGACAUAGCUUAUUGCCGCAUUGAUGUCCAAAACCCUCUUGAGAGAGAAACAGAGAGAGAAAGGUCAUCUUGAGGUGUGAGCGACUUGUGGGUCUUUCUCUCGAAUGGAUCGGUUCGUCAGUGCCCAGGCUCCUUGUCUCUCGGUAGGAGGGCCUCCCUCUCAAGUGGGCUUCUAGUUUCCGGCAAACUAAUUGCUCAGAAGGCGGUGGUAAGUUUUUGAAGCUAGCGGGAGUGACUGGAAGUGCUACUGCUCUUAGCAAAGUCUUGGGAUUAGUUCGUGAGCUUGUUCUUGCUGCUGUAUUUGGUGUUGGUCCUGUCGUAGAUGCGUUCGGGUAUGCAUCGAGUUCAUGGUGCUCUUCGCUAAGUUCGAAAGUUUGUAGAUAUGCGUCCAUUGUACCAGGAUUUUUUCUGAUAAUCCUUGGAGGAAUCAAUGGACCAAUCCACAUAGCAAUGGUAUCGGCCUUAAGAUACCUUUGAGCCUUGGCAUUCUCAUGUACACAUUAGCGGCUUUUCUUAUUGAUGCAAUCACAACAGGAUUGUUAUUGAAAACAAGCAGUGGAUUGAUCACGAGAAGCAUGGCUAUACUUCAGCUGAGAAUCAUGGCGCCUUGUGUAACACUGGCGUGCUUGAUGGGAAUCGGCUGUGGAAGUUUUGACCGAGCUUUCACGUCCAGUUUGUAGCCAAACUUUGGAAUGGGUUUCGUGUGCAGUGUCUCGGGAAGAUACGGGAUUGCAUCCUUGAGUCCUGCUCUAUCAAGCAUAUCGAUCAUUCUCGCUGCUGCAAUUCAUUGCAAGCUUUGCAAUCCUCAUUGCCUUGAGCUUUAAAGUCGAUUCAUACAAAGUGGUGCUUGACAGGAGGUGUUUUGCUCGUUUUGGCCUCGACAGUGGGAGCUUUGGCUCAAUGGCUUUUGCAGAUCUUUGCUCAAGAUGAUCGAGGCAUCAAGCUUUGCAUGCUUUUAAUGACCGGUCUCGCGAUCCCUCUCGCUAAGCCGAUCGUCCGAGCUCUCGUCCAGUGCUACACAUUUGGCGACUCCGCCGCUCAAGCCGUAUCAUUGCUCGUCAAGCACUAUGCGAUGGCCUCUACUUGCGACCUCCUUGAACGUAUUUUCUACGCUCUUGGCGAUCUCGAUUUUACGUGAGCUUGGCUGCCAUCUAACGCUCUCUUGGACUGGCUGCUCGUUGGAAAACUUUGUGGAAACUCUCUCUCUCUCUCUCUCUCUCUCUCUCUCUCGUGCUCCAGGUAAUGGCCACUUCAAUGGCACCGCUACGUAGAUGGGCCUGACAACCAAAGCUUUUGGAGAAGCUCACAACACCGGCUCGCUCUCUCUCUCUCUCUCUCUCUCUCUCUCUCUCUCUCUCUCGUGCUCCAGGUAAUGGCCACUUCAAUGGCACCGCUACGUAAAAUUCUAGAUGGGCCUGACAACCAAAGCUUUUGGAGAAGCUCACAACACCGGCUCCUCAGAUGAUCAAACUUCCGGUUGCUUCCUUUUGUUGCAGCUUUUAGACGACGGUGCAACCUUCUCAGGCAUCCCAAAAUUUAGCGCAUGACUGUUGCGGAGUUUUUGGAACGGAGUGGAGGCUCCACGCUUGUUGAUGUAAGCUGGUGCCCCAGAAGGAGGCUUUCUUCAAGACUGUCGGAAAUAUGUAUCAACACAGCUGUCCGAGGAACUUAGCUGGAUCAAGGUUGAAAAGGAGUUGCUUCAUCUGCGAGAGAUCCAAGCAGGAGGUAAAUCGAAGCUGGUUAAGGCAGACUUUCCUUUUGUGAUUCAGUUUAAAACACUUGACUUGAGAGCAGGACUGACUUGAAAGAUGGCUUACCAGCCGGGACCUGCAAAUACAUGCUGCGCAGGUGCAAACUUUGUCAUCGAGCAGGCAAUGAAAUGACAAGCUUCACAAGCAUGACGGUGGUCUCCUCAUUUCGUGAGUGCAAAUGCUUUUCUUUUUGUUGUUCUCCCCACACAAGGCCCGAUUUCAAGCUAAAAUCCCAAUUGCGAGCAAGCAAUUCUAAUCUUAGCCUUGAUCGUGUCA
Selaginella moellendorffii is the source of this 2057-nucleotide long non-coding RNA. RefSeq lists it as uncharacterized. The transcript is spliced from 12 exons. The record is from RefSeq and is a predicted model, not a curated record. Lineage: Eukaryota; Viridiplantae; Streptophyta; Lycopodiopsida; Selaginellales; Selaginellaceae.